Myotis lucifugus (little brown bat) is the source of this 92-nucleotide unclassified non-coding RNA. Its record names the gene 7SK. It matches the Rfam family "7SK RNA". Rfam says of the family: 7SK was discovered as an abundant small nuclear RNA in the mid-70s but a possible function has only recently been suggested. Two independent studies have found that 7SK RNA binds the CDK9/cyclin T complex (known as elongation factor P-TEFb). P-TEFb activates transcription by phosphorylating the C-terminal domain of RNA polymerase II. The record is from Ensembl. NCBI's taxonomy places the organism in Eukaryota, Metazoa, Chordata, Mammalia, Chiroptera, Vespertilionidae.
AGGAUGAUUUUGCUGCACUAUCUGCUAUCCAGUUGAUUAUUGGGGUGAAUUUAGUUCAUCUGGAUGAUUCACCAGGUGUUCCUUUCAUUCCU